UAAAAGGAAGGAAAGAUUUGUUCUGGAAAAUCAGAGUUUCUUUUAUAGUCAACAAGCCUUCCUGACAUAAUGCUGAGGCAAAGGGGCUAAUGUGGUUUUUGACAGAGUAAUUGGAGAUAGUUACAUAAAAUCGGAUGAUUCAUCUCAUGUGACCUCUACACUCAGUACUGUCUGACAUUAGAGAAUUACAUUUUUUGCAUCUUUUAUGAAACUGUAGAUUAUGAAGGGUGAAUAUUUGGAAUUAAUUCCUUCAACUGAGAAUUUACUUUACAUCAGUCUUUCCCAUUUACCAGAAAAAAAAACAGAAUCACAGAACAUUUCUUGAGCUCUGUCAAGCUUGUUCAGGAGUUCAGUUGAUUAUCUUGUGGGGUACACUACAACAACAGAGCAGUACUUGAUAAGCAGCAGAUUUGAGUUGAGAAGGGAGUAUAAUAUGCUUUGGGUAGAAUAUGGAGCUGGAUGUGUUUUGGAAUUUUUUUAUGUUCAGGCUACUGAAUGAUGGAAUAUGGUGAGUUUGAACUCUUCCUUUUGUCUUCAGAAGACAUUUUUGGUAGAUAUUUACUGAAACCCAAGUCACUGAGCUCAAGGCAUAGUGAGAAAAGGGUAAGUGUAAUGACUCAUCAUCUGUAGAAGACUGGACAAAAUCUGACGGCUCCUCAGUCUGCAUGCUAUGGAUUUUCAUAUCUGAGUCACACAUCUAUUUAAGUUCAUUAGCUUCAGUCUGUGCCUUGAUAUUUAAGGGGUGAUGGGAAGCAGUUGCUUUUUCAUUCCUCUCUUGAUUUUUGAGGCAACUAAAGAAAACAACAUUAGUUACUUUUUGUUCUUCAGUCAAAUCCCAGUGUUAAUGGCAAACAGGGGUCACAUUUUGAGUUGCCAUGGCAUGACUACUUCUGCGGAUAAUGGAAAUCAUCUCUGUUCUGCCUAGUAGUCUGGUGAAGGAGGGUAAGGUAUAUCUCUGGUAUGCUGCAGUUAGUUGCUUUGCCUGGGGUUGAGGCAGAGAGUAGGACACAUAGAAGCAUGAUCUGGUGGCUUAUAUGAAUUAUAGUAAUACAGAUGCUAAUUUAAGGCAGUCUAAAGCUGUGUACUCCUGCUUUCUGUGAACUUUUUACACUUUAUAGCUGAUUUGAAAUCACUUCAAGGUUCUCUGAAACUAGUGGUGACUGAGAGAGAAGCUUCUGGCAAUCAUUCGUGAGCUUUCUUGCUGAACAGAGGAAGAACUGACCUUGAUAAUUCUAGGCAGACUCCAAAGUUGGUUUUCAGACAUUAAAAACCCUGCGAUGAGAACAAUAUCUUGGCAUUGGAGUGGCUGAUAAUAUAUCCUGUGAAUUUUGCAGCAGCUAGCUGAAAUGCCUGGUAUGUUUUGGAGUGAGAGGCCUGCUUCUCAAGAUGUCACACCAGUGUGUAAGCCUCAGCUAGCAACCUCUUCAAUCUGCAUCCAGAAAGGCUGUACAAACUUACCUCAUCCAUACACUUACUUCAAACAAGAAAUUUGUGUGAAUGGAAAUACACAGCUAUUCUUAGGUUCUUUUGGGAUGCUGUCAACCAAGCAUAUCCUAAACCUUCAAAGGAUUCUAAUGCCUUUACCCAGUAUGUGUUUCUGAAUUUCUGCACAUAGAAUUAAACAGAGAAAACAUGAACCCAUUUCUCUUCUUAGCAUCAGAGCAUGGUAGAUUGUGAGACAGAUAAACAAAAUGGCGAUUUUUCUGGCAAAAUUCAGUUUCUUUUUUCAUACUUUGGGGCAAGAAGAGGGUGUGGUUGAUUGACCCUGCCUGGUUGGCAGGUGCCCACCACAGCUGCUCUGUUUCUCUAUUUUCCCUACUGGGCAGGACAGAGAACAUAUAACAAAAGGCUCAUGGAUCAAGAUAAGGCUAGGGACAGAUAACGCACAAAUUACUGCCAUGGGCAAAAGAGUCUUGACCCCAAAAAAUUA
Molecule: non-coding RNA, 1930 nt
Organism: Cyanistes caeruleus (blue tit)
Lineage: Eukaryota; Metazoa; Chordata; Aves; Passeriformes; Paridae
Source: RefSeq, a predicted model, not a curated record